Long non-coding RNA from Impatiens glandulifera, 556 nucleotides. RefSeq lists it as uncharacterized. Lineage: Eukaryota; Viridiplantae; Streptophyta; Magnoliopsida; Ericales; Balsaminaceae. The transcript is spliced from 3 exons. The record is from RefSeq and is a predicted model, not a curated record.
AGCUGUUGGCGGGGAUUGAUUUGAAACUCAUGGGCUGAGCCAGAAGGACAGUAUCAUAUUUCAGGAUGUAUCACUUUUGCAGAUGUGUAAUGGUUUGACCGAUAAAGCUAUUGGAGCUUGCUCCGAACUAAUUUUUGCUCCCAUUGCAUCAAAAGCUUCCGGAAAAUGCUGCACUUCUAUCUUCUGGGUUUCGCAUAUUUCCACUAGAUUCUAAUUGUAUCAAGAUUGGCACAAAAGAUGUGGUUCGAGAUAGUGGUGGAGGAUGGUACUCAUCAGGCGAUUCAAAAUUAUUGUUGGUUACUGUUUUUCAGUUCCCAUUUGAGAGCCAUCUUCAGGAAAAUGUUGCGUCAAUGGCUAAAGAAUAUGUCAGACAGGUGAUUUCCUUUGUGCGAACUAUUGCGUGUACACUAAGAUCAUCCGAGUUGAUCCCUGUUGUAGGGAUGAAACUAACUGCAGGCUCCCCUGAAGCUAUGACCCUUGCUGCUUGGAUUUACAAAAGCUACAGGCAAGUUUAGUGUUCUAACUACUAACGUGAAUAAUUGCCACUAAACAUAAC